CGUUAGCGGCGGACGGGUGAGUAACACGUGGGUAACCUACCUAUAAGACUGGGAUAACUUCGGGAAACCGGAGCUAAUACUGGAUAAUAUUUCGAACCGCAUGGUUCGAUAGUGAAAGAUGGUUUUGCUAUCACUUAUAGAUGGACCCGCGCCGUAUUAGCUAGUUGGUAAGGUAACGGCUUACCAAGGCGACGAUACGUAGCCGACCUGAGAGGGUGAUCGGCCACACUGGAACUGAGACACGGUCCAGACUCCUACGGGAGGCAGCAGCG
RNAcentral lists this ribosomal RNA (272 nucleotides) under uncultured Staphylococcus sp. RNAcentral describes it as "partial 16S ribosomal RNA". It matches the Rfam family "Bacterial small subunit ribosomal RNA", at positions 90 to 356 of the family's 1533-position model. The record is from RNAcentral. Lineage: Bacteria; Bacillati; Bacillota; Bacilli; Caryophanales; Staphylococcaceae.